RNAcentral lists this long non-coding RNA (609 nucleotides) under Olea europaea subsp. europaea. Lineage: Eukaryota; Viridiplantae; Streptophyta; Magnoliopsida; Lamiales; Oleaceae. The record is from RNAcentral.
CUAUUAGGCCUCUAAUUUUUUUAUUUUUUAAAAAUCAGACCCAAUUAAAGAAGCCCAAAUGACCUUCUCCAUACCAUAUACCCAGCAACCCGAAAACAGAGUCCCAGAUUUUUCCCCAAAUUGCCACCACCCACGAAUCUUCUCUACGGCUCUACCCGUCUACCACCACUAGCGCAGCAGCCAGCAGACGUUGCAGACGGCACCGUCAGGUCCGCCAUCGAUCAGAGACGAGAGCAGCAAGCGAGCAGCACUCCAGACUCCUGUCCAGCAGGCAGCCCGCAACAAUAAUGCAAGAUUCUUUUAGUUAUUUCCCAUUUUUAUUAUCGUUUCUAAAUAAAUAAAUUGUGCUAUCUGCAACUUUCCAUCCCUUUUCGUUUAUCCUCUGAGAUUUUAGUGUUACACUUUAUUGUUUGUUUUCUUGAUGACUGCAUUUUGAGUGACUAUUGAAGGUUUACACUUUUUUGUAUUUUCAAAAUUUAUCUCAUAACUGAUAUGAAUUAUGUCGAGGAAAGUGUAUGCUAUAUUUGUUUAUGUGUAACGUUGGGCUCUUUUCUGUGCUUAUAGGCCAUAGCUACUGGGUUUAGAAAAAUAAGCUAUGGUGGCUGGAGG